GUCCCAUGCAUAAAUCAUUCUCUUGUUGUUUGUCUGUAUUAGUCUGUUUAGUGUAACAGGGAAUGACCCUACGACAAUUUAGCCAUGAACCUUGAUGAGUGCAGGUCAAUUAUUAGAAUGUUAAGAGUGGCCUCUUGAUUAAAAUGC
Long non-coding RNA from Telopea speciosissima, 147 nucleotides. RefSeq lists it as uncharacterized. NCBI's taxonomy places the organism in Eukaryota, Viridiplantae, Streptophyta, Magnoliopsida, Proteales, Proteaceae. The record is from RefSeq and is a predicted model, not a curated record. The transcript is spliced from 3 exons.